CACACUGGGAGUUGCAGGCACCUAGGCACUCUGAGAGCAGAGAUGACAUAGAUGGACACAGAGUCCAAGUCAGGCCCACUAAACAUCCGGUGAAAACUAAACAUCUGGCAAAGCACAGAGGAGACAGGAAGACACGAAGAUACACUCAGGAGUGCAGACAUCAAAGCCACAUUCUGGCCAUGCAAACACACUCAGGGACACACUGGCUGAGACUGAAAGCCAGGCUUAUGUACACACACGUACACUAAGGUGCUUAGAUACACAAGUAUACACACACAGCACCAACAUCCCUGAUGACCGUGUGUGCAAAGCACCGUCGGGUCCCGGAGAAUGCAGAACUCUUCCUCCCAGCCUCACACGUGGCCGGCCUCCAUGGGAGGGACGGGAGCAAGGUUCUUACCAGGAUUUCGCCCAGCUCGUCCUCAUCGCAGUCAGCAGGCUCCUUCCCCAGGCGCGCUCUGGUUGGCUACACAGAGACACAGAUGUGUCACGAGAAAGAGCUUCGCAUGUGGGACAAGGUGACGGCGGUGCGUCCACCCCGUGUGAGCUAGAGGAAGGUGCUGUCAAGAGCUUGUGCUUUCACCCUGGGAAGGCCCUGGCGGCCUCUGAUCUGGAGACAAAUGACCGUGUGCAUGGCCUGCUGACUUUCCCACCUGUCCUCUCUCGGGCACUGCCUUACGCAGUCCUCAGGUAUAAUGAUGGGACUCUCUCAUGAUGACCAGGAGGGCUCUGGCCAUGCAAGGCCCCUGGCUGGGGAGAUUGAGCACAGGGAAGGGAUGCCAGGGCCGUGCAGACAGAGGGACCUCGGGGGCAUGCCAGGGCUGUACUCAGCUCUGGCCCCAGGGCCGUGUCCCCACCACACAGAGAGAGCUGUGACCCCUGGGUAACCUGGCCGCCCACUGCACAGAGGGAGCCGUGACCCCUGGGUGACCUGCCCCACACAGCUGUGACCCCUGGGUGACCUGCCCCCACCGCACAGCCAUGACCCCUGGCCGAGACCCCUGGGUGACCCCUGGACGACCUGCCCCUGCCACACAGCCGUGACCCCUGGGUGACCCCUGGACGUCCUGCCCCGCCGCACCAGGAUGAGCUGGAUCUCGUCCCUGUCGCACUUCACGUGGUAAAGGACCAUGUCCUGUGCGAUGUCCUUGCGGUUCUCCAGCUUGUUCAUCUUGUCGUAGGUGUCGGUGUUCAUCACUGACCAGCCCAGGAACUGUGUCAGGGACUGGAGGGGAUGGCAGUGUCACUGGCGCUCAG
Molecule: long non-coding RNA, 1257 nt
Filed under: Homo sapiens (human)
Lineage: Eukaryota; Metazoa; Chordata; Mammalia; Primates; Hominidae
Description: non-protein coding lnc-ATP5ME-1:16
Source: RNAcentral